Molecule: ribosomal RNA, 460 nt
Filed under: uncultured bacterium
Lineage: Bacteria
Description: partial 16S ribosomal RNA
Rfam family: Bacterial small subunit ribosomal RNA
Source: RNAcentral
CCUACGGGCGGCAGCAGUGAGGAAUAUUGGUCAAUGGCCGGAAGGCUGAACCAGCCAUGCCGCGUGAAGGUCAGUGCCCUAUGGGCGUUAAACUUCUUUUGUGCGGGAGCAAUAAUGGUCACGUGUGGCCAGACGAGAGUACCGUACGAAUAAGCCUCGGCUAACUCCGUGCCAGCAGCCGCGGUAAUACGGGGGAUGCAAGCGUUAUCCGGGUGUAUUGGGUUUAAAGGGUGCGUAGGCUGUGAGGUAAGUCAGCGUUGAAAUGCCCCCGCUCAACGGGGUGAAGUGCCAUUGAUACUGCCUUGCUGGAAUGCGGAUGCCGUGGGAGGAAUGUGUGGUGUAGCGGUGAAAUGCAUAGAUAUCACACAGAACACCGAGUGCGAAGGCAGCUCACGAAUCCGCGAUUGACGCUGAUGCACGAAAGCGUGGGUAUCAAACAGGAUUAGAUACCCCGGUAGUC